CACCCCACCUUUCCAGCCACAGCCCACAUCAUCUCAUCUUGAGCAUUCCGGAAAAACUGGCCAGUCCCUCAACUCAGGGUUGCAUCUUCUGUGCCUCCACACCUUUGCCCAUAUCAUCCCCCAUGCCAGGAUUACACUCACUUCUUAUAUCUGCCAUAUGGAACUCUUCUCUCCCUUCAAGGCCCAGCUCAGAUGCUACCUCCUCAGCGAAGCCUUCCAUGAUUUCCUGCAGGUACAAGGAAGUGUCCCUUUCCUCCUCAAAUAUCUCCAAAGCACUUGACCUGGCUUUCAGACGUCCCUGUGAGAUCCUACCUGGUCAUGGGGAGCCUUGAAGGAAGAUAAAGAUUUGUAGAGGUGUUUUUAUACCGGAGACGCACCUGCUUCCUUGGCUGGAUGCCAUCUGAAUCCAGCCUGUGGGGACAGAGGUGACAGGGCUGGGAGAGGAAAAAGCUAGAGGCGGACGGCCGGCUUUGUCAUGAGGCCUCUGGGAUUGUCUGAGGUCAUUGUAUUGCAGUGCUGAGAAGAGCCGAGCCAUUUACGGCGUUUCAUCAAACGAUAUUGCUGUGACUGUCUACACCAUUCUCCUGGUGCUGCUCACUUACCUAUG
Long non-coding RNA from Vombatus ursinus (common wombat), 607 nucleotides. RefSeq lists it as uncharacterized. The transcript has 3 exons. The record is from RefSeq and is a predicted model, not a curated record. NCBI's taxonomy places the organism in Eukaryota, Metazoa, Chordata, Mammalia, Diprotodontia, Vombatidae.